GACGAACGCUGGCGGCGUGCUUAACACAUGCAAGUCGAACGGAAAGGCCCUGCUUUUGUGGCGUGCUCGAGUGGCGAACGGGUGAGUAACACGUGUGUAACCUGCCCUUGACUUUGGGAUAACUUCAGGAAACUGGGGCUAAUACCGGAUAGGAGCUCCUGCUGCAUGGUGGGGGUUGGAAAGUUUCGGCGGUGGGGGAUGGACUCGCGGCUUAUCAGCUUGUUGGUGGGGUAGUGGCUUACCAGGGCUUUGACGGGUAGCCGGCCUGAGAGGGUGACCGGGCACAUUGGGACUGAGAUACGGACCAGACUCCUACGGGAGGCAGCAGUGGGGAAUAUUGCACAAUGGGCGGAAGCCUGAUGCAGCAACGCCGCGUGCGGGAUGACGGCCUUCGGGUUGUAAACCGCUUUCGCCUGUGACGAAGCGUGAGUGACGGUAAUGGGUAAAGAAGCACCGGCUAACUACGUG
This 468-nucleotide ribosomal RNA is filed under the name uncultured bacterium. Its description in RNAcentral is "partial 16S ribosomal RNA". It matches the Rfam family "Bacterial small subunit ribosomal RNA", at positions 28 to 507 of the family's 1533-position model. The record is from RNAcentral.